RNAcentral lists this unclassified non-coding RNA (227 nucleotides) under Hevea brasiliensis (rubber tree). The record is from RNAcentral. Lineage: Eukaryota; Viridiplantae; Streptophyta; Magnoliopsida; Malpighiales; Euphorbiaceae.
GGUGAAGAAUGAAGAGAAUAUCAGUAGGGAAGAAAACUAUGUAGUGUGAGAGGUCCAUCAAGAAAUAAGCCAUGCUGAACUCCAGGACCCUAUUAUGGAAGGUGGAGUUUGGAGAAGCAAAAGCAUACGAAGUUUGGGUGUGGAGUAGUGCACGGACAGCAAAGAUAACAGCAGGACUGCCAUGAGCUAGGGACAUAAAAGAGCUUGAAGCUUCUGCUCUGUUUUUU